RNAcentral lists this long non-coding RNA (337 nucleotides) under Homo sapiens (human). RNAcentral's name for it is "HSALNT0371825". The record is from RNAcentral. Lineage: Eukaryota; Metazoa; Chordata; Mammalia; Primates; Hominidae.
CCGCAUGUCUGUGCAUCUUUGAGGUUCCUGGAAGGCUGAGUGCGGAGCUUCCUGAGGCAAAACUCCUGUGGACCCACCAGGAAGCUGGUCUUGAAAGAUGCUGCACCAGACGACUCGUCCACUCACUAGAGACUCACUUUGCCGGAGAAGGGCUCGGGCGUCGUUGGAAGAACCCAAAGCCAGGCAUGAAAGGACCUCAGCCAGGGAGGGCACCGCAUUCACACAAAUGCUGCGUGUUCCCAUGGAAACAGCACAAAACCUGACCGAGGAAAUGAAUGCUGAAUUGGACUGAUUCCCCGUGAAUAAAGGGGAGAAACGCAAAGCAAUGUAAACAAAG